CUCGGCAACGGAUAUCUCGGBUCUCGCAUCGAUGAAGAACGUAGCGAAAUGCGAUACUUGGUGUGAAUUGCAGAAUCCCGUGAACCAUCGAGUCUUUGAACGCAAGUUGCGCCCGACGCCAUUCGGCCGAGGGCACGUCUGCCUGGGUGUCACGC
Molecule: ribosomal RNA, 155 nt
Filed under: Cuphea heterophylla
Lineage: Eukaryota; Viridiplantae; Streptophyta; Magnoliopsida; Myrtales; Lythraceae
Description: 5.8S ribosomal RNA
Rfam family: 5.8S ribosomal RNA
About the family: 5.8S ribosomal RNA (5.8S rRNA) is a component of the large subunit of the eukaryotic ribosome. It is transcribed by RNA polymerase I as part of the 45S precursor that also contains 18S and 28S rRNA.
Source: RNAcentral